This 428-nucleotide ribosomal RNA is filed under the name uncultured Acidobacteriota bacterium. RNAcentral describes it as "bacterial SSU rRNA". It matches the Rfam family "Bacterial small subunit ribosomal RNA", at positions 80 to 524 of the family's 1533-position model. Lineage: Bacteria; Pseudomonadati; Acidobacteriota. The record is from RNAcentral.
CAAUCCAUGAGUAAAGUGGCGACCGGGUGAGUAACACGUGACUAACCUACCUUCGAGUGGGGGAUAACCUCGGGAAACCGGGGCUAAUACCGCAUAACAUCUUUGGAGUGGAAAUUCUGGAGAUCAAAGGAGCAAUUCGCUGGAAGAGGGGGUCGCGGCUGAUUAGCUAGUUGGCGGGGUAACGGCCCACCAAGGCUUGGAUCGGUAGCCGGCCUGAGAGGGCGCACGGCCACACUGGAACUGAAACACGGUCCAGACUCCUACGGGAGGCAGCAGUGGGGAAUUUUGCGCAAUGGGGGAAACCCUGACGCAGCAACGCCGCGUGGAGGAUGAAGUCCCUUGGGACGUAAACUCCUUUCGACCCGGACGAUAAUGACGGUACGGGUGGAAGAAGCCCCGGCUAACUUCGUGCCAGCAGCCGCGGUAAU